AUUAAAAGUCCCAGUUUCGCCAUGUCCCUCAGCGUACAAAAAGAUCAAAUAUGGACUGGUUUAAGAAAUGGCAAUAUAAGAGUGUAUGAUGCAUGCGAUUUUGGGAAUGUUCUGCUAGCAACAGAGCUUACAUUUGGAUAUCGCUGGAAAGUUUCCAGUUUAAUUUAUACAGCUGGGGCUGUGUAUUCUGGCAAUGCAGAUGGGUGGGUAAAGAUUUAUCUGCCCACAUUUGAUCCUGAUUACAUGACAAAAAUACAUUUAAGAAGAUCUGGAGGUGUAGCAGAUAUGUCACUAACAGGCAAAAGACUGGCGGUCGCAACCGGGGAAGGUUUAGUUGCGGUAUGGGAUCCAUAAUCGUGAUCUACCCACACUGUUUGCCUAGGUCUCUUCAAAUGUAGCUGCUCUGAUUUAUCAAACAGGACCAACAGAAUCGUACAUGCCCAUUAGAAAAAUAUAUUGUUGUACCUUGUAUACAUAUCAAUAAUCAAUUGCUAUAUUUUAAUACAAACAAGUAAUUCUUUUCCAUUGGGUUAGUGUGUAAUGUAAAAGCACUAUUUGGCA
This is a non-coding RNA of Styela clava, 561 nucleotides long. NCBI's taxonomy places the organism in Eukaryota, Metazoa, Chordata, Ascidiacea, Stolidobranchia, Styelidae. The record is from RefSeq and is a predicted model, not a curated record.